GACGAACGCUGGCGGCGUGCCUAAUACAUGCAAGUAGAACGCUGAAGGAGGAGCUUACUUCUCCGGAUGAGUUGCGAACGGGUGAGUAACGCGUAGGUAACCUGGCCGGUAGCGGGGGAUAACUAUUGGAAACGAUAGCUAAGAACGCAUAAGGGAUGAUGUUGCAUGACAUUUACUUAAAAGGUGCAAUUGCACAACUACCAGAUGGACCUGCGUUGUAUUAGCUAGUUGGGGGGGUAACGGCGUAACAAGGCGACGAUACAUAGCCGACCCGAGAGGGUGAUCGGCCACACUGGGACUGAGACACGGCCCAGACUCCUACGGGAGGCAGCAGUAGGGAAUCUUCGGCAAUGGACGGAAGUCUGACCGAGCAACGCCGCGUGAGUGAAGAAGGUUUUCGGAUCGUAAAGCUCUGUUGUAAGAGAAGAACGAGUGUGAGAGUGGAAAGUUCACACUGUGACGGUAUCUUACCAGAAAGGGACGGCUAACUACGUGCCAGCAGCCGCAGUAA
This 511-nucleotide ribosomal RNA is filed under the name uncultured bacterium. RNAcentral's name for it is "partial 16S ribosomal RNA". It matches the Rfam family "Bacterial small subunit ribosomal RNA", at positions 28 to 523 of the family's 1533-position model. The record is from RNAcentral.